GCCAGGCGUGAUGGCUCAUGCCUGUAAUCCCAGCACUUUGGGAGGCUGAGAUGGGUGGAUCACCUGAGGUCAGGAGUUUGAGACCAGCCUGGCCGACAUGGUGAAACCCCAUCUCUA
Molecule: unclassified non-coding RNA, 117 nt
Organism: Macaca fascicularis (crab-eating macaque)
Lineage: Eukaryota; Metazoa; Chordata; Mammalia; Primates; Cercopithecidae
Rfam family: Metazoan signal recognition particle RNA
About the family: The signal recognition particle (SRP) is a universally conserved ribonucleoprotein.
Source: Ensembl